GAAUGCAGCCCCAAUCGGGCGG
Molecule: small nuclear RNA, 22 nt
Filed under: Arabidopsis thaliana (thale cress)
Lineage: Eukaryota; Viridiplantae; Streptophyta; Magnoliopsida; Brassicales; Brassicaceae
Description: snRNA_07042
Source: RNAcentral